UAAUAAGUGUUUUAUGGCACUUUUUAAAUCCAUAUCCACCUUGUGUGCAAUGUCAGGUCGAUUUCUUUUAUGGAGGAUCGACCAAACAUCAACCUUUAUCUUUUAACUCUUUGUCUGAAAAAUAUUAUGAAUAAACAAUUCAAAAUA
Molecule: unclassified non-coding RNA, 147 nt
Filed under: soil metagenome
Description: partial internal transcribed spacer 1
Source: RNAcentral